UGAGUAACGCGUGGGAAUCUACCCAUCUCUACGGAACAACUCCGGGAAACUGGAGCUAAUACCGUAUACGUCCUUCGGGAGAAAGAUUUAUCGGAGAUGGAUGAGCCCGCGUUGGAUUAGCUAGUUGGUGGGGUAAUGGCCUACCAAGGCGACGAUCCAUAGCUGGUCUGAGAGGAUGAUCAGCCACACUGGGACUGAGACACGGCCCAGACUCCUACGGGAGGCAGCAGUGGGGAAUAUUGGACAAUGGGCGCAAGCCUGAUCCAGCCAUGCCGCGUGAGUGAUGAAGGCCCUAGGGUUGUAAAGCUCUUUCAACGGUGAAGAUAAUGACGGUAACCGUAGAAGAAGCCCCGGCUAACUUCGUGCCAGCAGCCGCGGUAAUACGAAGGGGGCUAGCGUUGUUCGGAAUUACUGGGCGUAAAGCGCACGUAGGCGGAUAUUUAAGUCAGGGGUGAAAUCCCGGGGCUCAACCCCGGAACUGCCUUUGAUACUGGGUAUCUCGAGUCCGGAAGAGGUGAGUGGAAUUCCGAGUGUAGAGGUGAAAUUCGUAGAUAUUCGGAGGAACACCAGUGGCGAA
This 577-nucleotide ribosomal RNA is filed under the name Mesorhizobium sp. T-1-Telhado. Its description in RNAcentral is "bacterial SSU rRNA". It matches the Rfam family "Bacterial small subunit ribosomal RNA", at positions 107 to 719 of the family's 1533-position model. Lineage: Bacteria; Pseudomonadati; Pseudomonadota; Alphaproteobacteria; Hyphomicrobiales; Phyllobacteriaceae. The record is from RNAcentral. RNAcentral also lists the same sequence under 3 other names.